UACAGAGGGUGCAAACGUUGCUCGGAAUUAUUGGGCGUAAAGCGUCCGCAGGUGGCUGUGUAAGUCUGCUGUUAAAGAGUCUAGCUCAACUAGAUAAAGGCAGUGGAAACUACACGGCUAGAGUGCGUUCGGGGCAGAGGGAAUUCCUGGUGUAGCGGUGAAAUGCGUAGAGAUCAGGAAGAACACCGGUGGCGAAGGCGCUCUGCUAGGCCGCAACUGACACUGAGGGACGAAAGCUAGGGGAGCGAAUGGG
RNAcentral lists this ribosomal RNA (253 nucleotides) under uncultured bacterium. RNAcentral describes it as "partial 16S ribosomal RNA". It matches the Rfam family "Bacterial small subunit ribosomal RNA", at positions 524 to 776 of the family's 1533-position model. The record is from RNAcentral.